Long non-coding RNA from Hyaena hyaena (striped hyena), 685 nucleotides. RefSeq lists it as uncharacterized. The transcript is spliced from 3 exons. Lineage: Eukaryota; Metazoa; Chordata; Mammalia; Carnivora; Hyaenidae. The record is from RefSeq and is a predicted model, not a curated record.
CCUCGGCCGUGCAGAGCGCGUGGAAGGCGUGCGCCGGGCCGGGCAGCACCGAGAGGUUGACGAUCCGCGGGGCGGCUGCGGGCGGCGGCCAAGGGGUCGGCGGAGAAAGCGAAUCCUGGGGCCACAGAGAAGAGUGGGAAACUUACCCAUUGGGAAGAUGCCCACCAGGCAGGCCAGGAGCUGGAGGGACCAUUCCAUGCUGUGAGUGUCUGGAGACCCCAGGCCAGCCCUCCUCUCACCUGGGCCACCAGUGAGAAGCCUCCUUGAUGACGUGGGAGAAGGCAGUGUGCCAGCAGGGGUUUUCAUUUUGAUGAAGCUAUCUUGCUGCGGCCAUGCUGAUUCUGAAGUGGUGAUUAUUCACGGAAGAACAAUCCUCACCAAAAUGUAGUCAUCAUUGACAAUGGUUACGUUACUAAGCAGCAUAAAAGGGAAAUAGCAAACUUAUUAAGGGAAUCAAUCCAGAUAAACAUGUCAAAAUGCUCAGAACAUCAACAUGCCAGACAGAAAUAUCCUACCGCAGGGGCAGAAUCUCAGUAUCUGCUGCAAAGAGAUAAUCAGAAGGCUGGACAGAAAAACGGCCAGGUAGGGGGCUGGCCAAGAUGAGCCAAUGCUUGAGGGAAAUGUUUUAGUUACGAUAAAUAAUAAUCUGUUGAGAUGGAGGGAGGCUCUCAAAUACAAUAGAUUU